RNAcentral lists this ribosomal RNA (559 nucleotides) under uncultured bacterium. Its description in RNAcentral is "bacterial SSU rRNA". It matches the Rfam family "Bacterial small subunit ribosomal RNA", at positions 338 to 916 of the family's 1533-position model. The record is from RNAcentral.
CCUACGGGAGGCAGCAGUGGGGAAUCUUGCACAAUGGGGGAAACCCUGAUGCAGCGAUGCCGCGUGAGUGAAGAAGGCCUUUGGGUUGUAAAACUCUUUCGUCGGGGAAGAAAAUGACUGUACCCGAAUAAGAAGGUCCGGCUAACUUCGUGCCAGCAGCCGCGGUAAUACGAAGGGACCUAGCGUAGUUCGGAAUUACUGGGCUUAAAGAGCUCGUAGGUGGUUAAAAAAGUUGAUGGUGAAAUCCCAAGGCUCAACCUUGGAACUGCCAUCAAAACUUUUUAGCUAGAGUGUGAUAGAGGUAAGUGGAAUUUCUAGUGUAGAGGUGAAAUUCGUAGAUAUUAGAAAGAACACCAAAUGCGAAGGCAACUUACUGGGUCACUACUGACACUGAGGAGCGAAAGCAUGGGUAGCGAAGAGGAUUAGAUACCCUCGUAGUCCAUGCCGUAAACGAUGUGUGCUAGACGUUGGAAAUAUAUUUUUCAGUGUCGCAGCGAAAGCAUUAAGCACACCGCCUGGGGAGUACGACCGCAAGGUUAAAACUCAAAGGAAUUGACGG